RNAcentral lists this ribosomal RNA (274 nucleotides) under uncultured bacterium. RNAcentral describes it as "partial 16S ribosomal RNA". It matches the Rfam family "Archaeal small subunit ribosomal RNA", at positions 473 to 747 of the family's 1478-position model. The record is from RNAcentral.
AAACCAGCACCUCAAGUGGUCAGGAUGAUUAUUGGGCCUAAAGCAUCCGUAGCCUGCUCUGUAAGGUUUCGGUUAAAUCUGUACGCUUAACGUACAGGCUGCUGGGAAUACUGCAGAGCUAGGGAGUGGGAGAGGUAGACGGUACUCGGGAGGAAGUGGUAAAAUGCUUUGAUCUCUCGAUGACCACCUGUGGCGAAGGCGGUCUACCAGAACACGUCCGACGGUGAGGGAUGAAAGCUGGGGGAGCAAACCGGAUUAGAAACCCGUGUAGUCC